CUAUGACUAAAUGUCAUGGCGGAAGGAG
This 28-nucleotide non-coding RNA is filed under the name unclassified sequences. Its description in RNAcentral is "L31-Firmicutes ribosomal protein leader". It matches the Rfam family "L31-Firmicutes ribosomal protein leader". The record is from RNAcentral.